RNAcentral lists this ribosomal RNA (443 nucleotides) under uncultured bacterium. RNAcentral's name for it is "partial 16S ribosomal RNA". It matches the Rfam family "Bacterial small subunit ribosomal RNA", at positions 338 to 795 of the family's 1533-position model. The record is from RNAcentral.
CCUACGGGAGGCAGCAGUGGGGAAUAUUGGGCAAUGGGCGCAAGCCUGACCCAGCAACGCCGCGUGAAGGAAGAAGGCUUUCUGGUUGUAAACUUCUUUUGUCAGGGACGAAGCACGUGACGGUACCUGACGAAUAAGCCACGGCUAACUACGUGCCAGCAGCCGCGGUAAUACGUAGGUGGCAAGCGUUAUCCGGAUUUACUGGGUGUAAAGGUCGUGUAGGCGGGGAAGCAAGUCAGAUGUGAAAACCACGGGCUCAACCUGUGGCCUGCAUUUGAAACUGUUUUUCUUGAGUGCGGGAGAGGCAAUCGGAAUGCCGGGUGUAGCGGUGAAAUGCGUAGAUAUACGGAGGAACACCAGUGGCGAAGGCGGAUUGCUGGACAGUAACUGACGCUGAGGCGCGAAAGCGUGGGGAGCAAACAGGAUUAGAUACCCCAGUAGUC